GACGAACGCUGGCGGCGUGCUUAACACAUGCAAGUCGUACGGUAAGGCCCUUUCGGGGGUACACUAGUGGCGAACGGGUGAGUAACACUUGAGUAACCUGCCCACAACUUUGGGAUAACGCUAGGAAACUGGUGCUAAUACUGGUUAUGUGCUCCUGCUGCAUGGUGGGGGUUGGAAAGCUCCGGCGGUUGUGGAUGGACUCGCGGCCUAUCGGCUUGUUGGUUGGGUAGUGGCCUACCGAGGCGGCGACGGGUAGCCGGCCUGAGAGGGUGACCGGCCACCUUGGGUCUGAGAGACGGCCCAGACGGCUACGGGAGGCAGAAGUGGGGAAUAUUGAACAAUGGGCGCAAGCCUGAUGCAGAAGCGCCGCGUGCGGGAUGACGGUCUUAGGGUUGUAGAACGCUUUCAGCAGGGACGAAGCUUUUUGUGACGGUACCUGAAGAAGAAGCACCGGCUAACUACGUG
This 465-nucleotide ribosomal RNA is filed under the name uncultured bacterium. Its description in RNAcentral is "partial 16S ribosomal RNA". It matches the Rfam family "Bacterial small subunit ribosomal RNA", at positions 28 to 507 of the family's 1533-position model. The record is from RNAcentral.